GCCAGCAGGAGCUGCUCCCGGUGAGCCCCGCUUCUCCCCGUAACCUAGCCUUGGGUAACAGGCUUCUCCCGGAGGAUCACUGUUCUCAGUCCCUGGCAAGAGCUGGCCCCAUGGGGAGUGUUUUGUUGCCAGUGCCCAGUGCCCAGCAACCAGGCUGGGUUUAGGAAGGAGGCUGGAGUCUCCAGGAGGAAGGUCCUGCCCAAGAUGGAGCAGAGGAGAUGGAAUUUCACCAUGGUGCCCAGGCUGGUCCUGAACUCCUGACUUCAAGUGAUCCACCUGCCUCGGCCUCCCAAAAUACUGGCAUUACAGAUGGAGUUUCACUCUUCUUACCCAGGCUGGAGCACAGUGGCACGAUCUCAACUCACUACAACCUCUGCCUCCCAGAUUCAAGCAAGUCUCCUCCCUCAGCCUCCUGCACAGCUGGGAUGACAGGCUCCUGCCAUCAUGCCCAGCUAAUUUUUGUAUUUUUAGUGGAGAUGGGGUUUCACCAUGUUGGCCAGGUUGGCCUCAACUCCUGACCUCAGGUGACCCUCCUGCCUUGGCCUCCCAAAGUGUUGGGAUUACAGGUGUGAGCCACCGUGCUGAAGAGGAAAUUUGGACACCCAGAGAGACACCAGGGGUGCACAUGCACAGAGGAAAGGCCAUGUGAGGAUGUCAGGAAACAACCAGACAUUUGCAAGCUGAGAAGACAGGCCUCGGGGGAAAGCAACCCACCAACACAUUGAUCUUGGACUUCCAGUCUCCAGAACAGUGAGAAAAUACAUUUCUGUUGUUCGCACUGCCCGGUCUGUGGUGUUUGUUAUGGCAGCCCGAGCCGACUGAUACAGCCAGGAUGAAGCUGGAGUUUCUAGUUUGCACAGCCAGGAGGGCAGGUACCAUGUCUUGAAGGGGGAGUGAUGUGGUUUGGAUCUGUGUCCCCGUCCAAAUCUCAGGUUGAAUUGUAAUACCCAGUGUUGGAGAUGGGGCCUGGUGGGAGUGAUGGGUCAUGGGGGUGAAUUUCUCAGCAAUGGUUUAGCACCAUCCCCGUGGUGCUGCCCUCAUGGUAGUGAGUGUGUUCUCGGGAGAUCUGGUCCUUUAAAAUUAUGCCACAUAUGUGCAAACUCCUGCUUUGCCUUCCACUAUGACUGGAAGUUUCCUGAGGCCUCCCCAGAAGCAGAUGCCAGCACUAUGCUUCCUGUAUAGCCUACAGAACCAUGAGCCAAUUAAACCAAUUAAACCUCUUUUCUUUGUAAAUUA
Molecule: non-coding RNA, 1236 nt
Organism: Callithrix jacchus (white-tufted-ear marmoset)
Lineage: Eukaryota; Metazoa; Chordata; Mammalia; Primates; Cebidae
Source: RefSeq, a predicted model, not a curated record